ACUCGCAAUCGAAGAAUAAAAAUCUUAAGCAUGAAAAUGUGUAAACCAUUUUCACAAGGAACGUAACAAAUCAAGACAUAUUUUGGCCAUGAAUUUUUGCUUGGUCGUGAACAGUCGUCAACGGUGCAAGUGAGUCAAGGCAUCAUUGACUAAAAGAAAAUAUAGUAUCAAAGUAGUAUGCACACCGAUAGCAAGAGGAGUCAAGAAUAAUUAAAAAAUGACUUGGCCAAUGAAAUAAAUGGAUAUAAUCAUCAGAUGGUACGAGUUUUGUGCGCUUAACCGCUGUCUCCGUAAACAAAAAUGCGUUUCAAGUAAGAGCUUCCGAUAAAAAUAAACUGCAACUCGGAAUU
Long non-coding RNA from Xenia sp. Carnegie-2017, 350 nucleotides. RefSeq lists it as uncharacterized. The record is from RefSeq and is a predicted model, not a curated record. The transcript has 2 exons. NCBI's taxonomy places the organism in Eukaryota, Metazoa, Cnidaria, Anthozoa, Malacalcyonacea, Xeniidae.